This 1470-nucleotide long non-coding RNA is filed under the name Taeniopygia guttata (zebra finch). RNAcentral describes it as "lncRNA (ENSTGUG00000025802.1)". Lineage: Eukaryota; Metazoa; Chordata; Aves; Passeriformes; Estrildidae. The record is from RNAcentral.
CAUCUUCAGAGAGGUAGAAAGGGAAUUUAAAACUGUUUUUCCUUCAGCACCAAGACCCAACUGCAAAGACAGUGCUUGUCAGUGAUGGGAGAGGAUCCAGGCCCAGGGAGAUACUGGAUCUGAGCUGUGAGGAGCAAGCCACUAAUUACAUUAAAUAAUAAUUAAAAAGAACACAAAACAAAAGGCACUGAAUGUUUUCAAACAAACUGGAGAAAAUGAGUUUUGUACAUUAACAGUCCAUGAACCUAAGGGGGUAAAAUCCUGCUGGCAGCAGUUUGCUGUUGGCUGUGUGGAUGCUCUGUGGUGCAGUACAGUCCUACCUUUCCUUUCCAGGGAGUGGGGAAUGCUGGCACCUUCAGCUGAGACUGAGAUGGGGGAGGCUGUUAGACCUUGUGGUUUGUUGUCCUCCAUUUCAGCUGAAGUUCCCCAGUGUCAGACUGACUCCUUCCCUGACUCUCCUCAGAUGAGGUACAAACUGGGGAUGUCAAGAAGCAAUUUUGCCUGAGAAGGUUUUUGGGUUUUUGCUUCUGUGGGAGGAGAUGUGGGUGUGAAUGUUCAAAUACGAUUCGGGUUUGGAGUCCUUAACUGCCCCACAAUUUUCAUUGGUUUGAGUUCAGCUCUUGAUCUCCACAUUAAUUUUUCAGCAUGAAAGGACAGCACAAGAAGCAGAAGCCUUGGAAAACUGAGGACACCCAGCCUGGGAGGGAGAGAAAAAUUUCACAUGGUUUGAGAAACCAGAGCAACAGAAAAUUAGGAGUAAGGCAAGGGGCAGGGGCAACAAAAGACCUUCUGUGUUCUCCUGGGAGGCUCCUUCCUUUCCUUCCCCCUUUCUCUACUGCUGCUGAACGGCACUUCCAGGUGUUGCCAAAGGACCAGGACACAGCUGUGGCCACAAAGGUGGAGAAAACACCUCAGCCAGCACACCAGGUGAGAUGGCAGGAGCAGCAAGCACUACCACAACUCCCUUCCACCUCCUUGCUCAGCUGCUUUGCUGCCCAGAAUGUCAUACAAAAAACCAACAAAAACAACCCACCACCACUCUGCAAAAAUCCAAACAACUAAAACAAACACACAAACAAAAAAUCAAAAAAACCUGCUCUGGGCAAAGCAAAACUACUUAUCCCCCAGCCUGGGAUGGAGAGGGGGAGUGGGCUGAAGGUCACUGACAGGGUAAAUUUCUGGGUACUUGGUUGCAUUUUUGUUUCUUCCUUGCCCCUGACUUCUCAAGACUUCUGCAGAAGUUUUAAGUCUUUGAAGCUGUUUCCUCUUGCUCAAACCGCCUGACGUUGGCUGGCUCUGACGCAGCAUCGUGGUGCCACACGCCCUGUCGCAACCCUGUGAGCUCCUGCUCAUCCUCUGGGAACCUGGCACUGCCUCUGCAAGGCUCCUGUUGGAAAAGCAAACAGUCUGGUACUGACCAGAGAGAAUCAGGGAGGGCUGAGGGGGUUGUGAGAUGCCUGAGGUAACUGG